GCCCCACCCGAGUUCCCAGAGACACAGGCCGGGCACCAGCGAGCUGUGAGGAGAACGCAGGGUCCCAGGGGCCCAUCUCCUCCGCCUGACCUGCCCAGACACACCUGGGUGGCGCUGGGCUCUGAGGAGACAACAGGAAGGCUUUGUUCCUGGCCUGGCUGAGACUCUCUCUCCCGGCCACUCCAGGAAGAGACCUGCCCUUUCAGGGACUCAGUUUAUGGUGGAGGGAGGGGGACAGACAAUCAGCGCUCACCCUCAGCGAGACAAGCAGGAGUCAACAAGGCCGCGAGACCCCCACCAUGUCCCAGAGACCUGUGCCACCGGGCUUUUAUUUAUGAAGUGACAGCUGGAGGCCAUCGCUUACCGGACUGGUGGGAUCAGGGGUGCGGCACUCACGGGCCUCCCUUGUGUCACAGGCCCCUCAGAGCAGGAGCCUGGGCCCCUGGGGAUGCCUUCCAUCAACGCCUCCCAGGACUUAGGGCUCCUGGGCCAGACUCUCCACAGAAGCAGAUAGUUUUCGUCAGGGUCCAGACACCAAUGCAGAUCCACCCCAGAUGGUCAGCUAUCCCCGGUCACCGAAGUUUCACUGUCCCCUACGCGAAGGCCCUUCUCUUACCUUUGCUAGAGUAUCCACUACGCACACCAGCGGCUGCUUCGCAGGAUAUUUGGCCAUGUCCCACUCAAAGUGGGUCACGAAGGAUGUUAAGUCGACUGGAAGAAACACAUUUCAACAAGUGAGCGGGGCUCUCCCCAUCUGGUGGAGACCAAGGACACACACCCCUGCUGGGUUAUUGUUCUGUUUUGAAGUACCUCCAAGAUAAGACUCGCCAGAGAGCCUCCAGCCAACCCUCCAAGACCACAGAGCCAGUUAGGGUGCCGCCUGCCCUCAGGGCGAGCUGCCUUCUCGCCUCCCUCGUCCAAGCCCUGGACGGAGUGGAUUUCCACACACGUGGUCUGUUUUAAAGAAGGCGUGUCGAACCCUGGCAAAAUCCUAGAAGCUGCGACUGCUGUUUUUACCACCCGGGGUGGGGGUGCCCUGGUCACUGUAUGUCCUUUAUAUAAGAGUCUAUGUACAGGGA
Neofelis nebulosa (Clouded leopard) is the source of this 1079-nucleotide long non-coding RNA. RefSeq lists it as uncharacterized. NCBI's taxonomy places the organism in Eukaryota, Metazoa, Chordata, Mammalia, Carnivora, Felidae. The record is from RefSeq and is a predicted model, not a curated record. The transcript is spliced from 3 exons.